AACGAACGCUGGCGGCAUGCCUAACACAUGCAAGUCGAACGAGACCUUCGGGUCUAGUGGCGCACGGGGGCGUAACGCGGGGGAACCUGCCCGUAGGUACGGAAUAAUUCCCCGAAAGGGGUGCUAAUACCGGAUAAUGUACUCGGACAAAAGAUAUAUCGCCUUUGGAUGGGCCGGCGUUGGUUUAGCUAGUUGGUAGGGUAAAAGCCUAUCAGGGCGUCGAUAGAUAGCUGGUCAGAGAGGAAGGUCCGCCACACUGGGGCUAGGGACCGGCGGAGAAUCCUACGGGAGGCAGGAGAGGCGGAUACAGGAAUAUCGCGUGAAGCCUGAUGCAGCUAGGCCUGGUGAGUGAUGAAGUCCGGAGGGUAAUGAAGCUCUUUUAUCCGGGAUGAUAAUGACGGUACCGGAAGAAUAAGCACCGGCUAACUUCGUG
This 433-nucleotide ribosomal RNA is filed under the name uncultured bacterium. RNAcentral describes it as "partial 16S ribosomal RNA". It matches the Rfam family "Bacterial small subunit ribosomal RNA", at positions 29 to 507 of the family's 1533-position model. The record is from RNAcentral.